CCUACGGGAGGCAGCAGUGAGGAAUAUUGGUCAAUGGCCGGAAGGCUGAACCAGCCAUGCCGCGUGAAGGUCAGUGCCCUAUGGGCGUUAAACUUCUUUUGUGCGGGAGCAAUAAUGGUCACGUGUGGCCAGACGAGAGUACCGUACGAAUAAGCAUCGGCUAACUCCGUGCCAGCAGCCGCGGUAAUACGGGGGAUGCAAGCGUUAUCCGGAUUUAUUGGGUUUAAAGGGUGCGUAGGCUGUGAGGUAAGUCAGCGGGGAAAUGCCCCCGCUCAACGGGGUGAAGUGCCAUUGAUACUGCCUUGCUGGAGUGCGGAUGCCGUGGGAGGAAUGUGUGGUGUAGCGGUGAAAUGCAUAGAUAUCACACAGAACACCGAUUGCGAAGGCAUCUCACGAAUCCGCGAUUGACGCUGAUGCACGAAAGCGUGGGUAUCAAACAGGAUUAGAUACCCCAGUAGUC
RNAcentral lists this ribosomal RNA (460 nucleotides) under uncultured bacterium. RNAcentral's name for it is "partial 16S ribosomal RNA". It matches the Rfam family "Bacterial small subunit ribosomal RNA", at positions 338 to 795 of the family's 1533-position model. The record is from RNAcentral.